This 7814-nucleotide long non-coding RNA is filed under the name Sorghum bicolor (sorghum). Its description in RNAcentral is "long non-coding RNA (SBIC_LNC007140)". The stretch from base 4062 to 4168 matches the Rfam family "Plant small nucleolar RNA R71". Lineage: Eukaryota; Viridiplantae; Streptophyta; Magnoliopsida; Poales; Poaceae. The record is from RNAcentral.
GAUCAUAAGUUGUUGCAAUAUUUAAAAAUUUGACGGUACACAUGCUUUUAAAUAAGAUCUCAUCUCUGAGUUAGAGUAAACUGUCAAGACUUAAAACUUACUUACUUUACCUCCACCAUGGGACUUGUAGCUGUCACUUCUGUCUUGAGUGGUUAAAAGAUAGAACAGUCUAGCCAAGUGCCAUGUCUCUUAUUCUUGAUCAGCUAUAGCUCUGGGGGUUUUGCGGAUUUUCAAAUAAAACUCAGAAUUCCUUGUAUGAUUCUCUCAGGUCUCUCUUUUGUGGUAUUUCUGGAUCCUUACCAAGGCAUUGAUGGUAUAUGCCUUCUCUCAAGAUAUGUGGUAUUUGUGGUAUAAGGCAUAGUGACAUGUAUUGCAUAGUCAAACCAUGGAUCCAAAGUAACAAGUCAAUAAGUUUAAUCAAGAUGUGCAUGUGUGGCGAACGAAUGGUAUAUGGUGAUGAUGGUGAUAACAAUGGUGAAAACAAUGGUGGUGGAAGUCUAAUUCUACUUUUGCUCUUUGAGGGGAUACAUACCUUCCUUGCUUUUGAAAUUUUAUAAGGAGAAUGAGAUGCUCUUCUUUUUCUUUUCUCUCAGGUGGGUAUCUUGCACCCCUAAUUCUACUGUCGGACACUUGUCCAUUUUUACCUCUCGUCUCACUCUUUUUCUUUUCUUUCGAGGUUCCGAGCACUUGCUCCUUUUUAUUUCCUCGUAUUAUUUCUCUUCUUUUUUUUUAGAGCACUCAUCUCUUGAGAUAAUAUAGCAAGUGGUAGUAACAAGAUAACUUGAGCAUUUAUUUCAUAAGGGAAAACAGAAAUAUUUUUGGUUAUUCUCUCCCGGAUUAGGAGUAGAAUAUUUUCAGGUGGUUCUGGAGAUGGAAUGGGUGGAUAUAUGUGGAUGGUACUUCCGGAAUAGAAGUAGCAUAUAUAAAUGAACGUGCAAGUGAAAUCUUGAUUUAACCACAUGACAAGCUCCUAAGGGUCUACACAGCUUGACCAUACUCAAUACUCAUAAGCAGUAAAUAGUAAAUGUGUGGCUCAAAGUCUAGCAAGCAUGUAUAUAUGGCUGUGGUAGGAAUUUAAGCUCUCAUCAUACAAGAACUCAUCAUGCAACAUUUUAAAGAUUUUUAAAGAUAAAAUUCUCCAGAAUUCUAGCAUCUCUAGGAACAGAUAAACAGCAGCUCAGCCUUCUCAUAUCAUAUCCGUUAACAACUUAGACUUCAGAUCAAGUUUUCAUCCCACAAGUUUAGGUCUAGGGCAAGCUUUAAAUUAUAACAGUUAUAUCUAAACUUGAGAGAGAACUUAAAAUUUGCAAGUUAAGCAGAGCAACUAUUUAUCAUAUCCAUGCUUAAAUUUAUUUAGAUACAGAUUAGCAUAGCCACUUUAUUUAUUUAUUAAACACACUAAGCAAAAGACAUAUAUAUAUAAGCAUAAAAUCUUUAUUUGGUUUUCCCAUAGUUUAUGUGUAUUUUAAUAUUCUAAAAUAAUAUAAGUAUAAAGAUAGAUAGAAAGAAAUACUUAUCGAGAUAAAUGGGGGUGCUCUCCCCCAAGCUGAAUUUUGACGUAAUUUCUCUUGAUGUAGCUAGCAGGUGGCAGAGGUGUAUUUGAAAGUCAGCAGUAUUCUGACAGCGAUUAGAAUGUCCUCCGUGUGCUAGUCUUCUUGAUUCUUAAAUCCUGUGGAGCUCAAAUAGACAACAAAGCUUGUGGAACUGAUUAAGUGUUAGCAUAAAUAUCUAGCCUUUAUCAUCUUGAGACUCCUUAAUAAUUAUUACUCCCUGUUUUUUAUAUUUUUAUUUUUAUAAAGCAGAAAAAAUAAUUAUUUUAUUUUUAUGCCACCACAGUGAAUGUACUUAUGGGUUUUAUGCCACUCGUCUACUCAUAUGGGGCUUACUGUUUUUCACAUUUUUAUUUUCUUUUUAAGAUAGUGUGAAUAUAAUUAACUAAGUAAACUAUUUAAAAUAACUGAAAGGGAAAGGAUAACUACCAAGUUUACCUCUUGGCAAGGCGUUCGGUGUUUUUAAGUCCUCCGAACGGGACUCUCAAAUUUCUUAAUCGUCCUGAGGUUCGUUGGGUGGCGUAGUCGGUACUUCCGGCAGCGCCUCCUCUUCUUGUAUAGUUAUCUUCAUUUUCCAUACCUGACUCGGUGCUUCAAUCUCCUCUGGAUAAUUCUGUUUAAACUCUACGUCUUCUGACCUUACAACUUCUCCUUCAUAGUCUGCCCAUCCGUCCUUGAUGAUCUGCCUUCUCUGGUUGCGGUUGCGUCUCUUUCUGACCUGCUUAGAUUCUUCAACGAUAUAGUUAGGGUCAGUAAAGUAACGGCGUACCUUCUCUGAGGGGAAGUGCAUAUGGACUUCUCCGGUUCCCAUGUAGAUAAUCGCUUUAACGGUGCUGAGGAACGGUCUUCCAAGGAUAAUGGGUGGAUCAUACUCGUCUUCUCUCAUGUCAACAACUCUGUGUAGACAAAGUGAUCGUCUAUUUUGACUGUGACAUCAGAUACUAUUCCUUUAACUUCUCAAAAUGUCUGAUCUGCCAUCUGGAGCUGAAUGUAUGUCGGUCUUAGUGGCAUGGUCCCGAACAAGAGCCGAUAGGUGACUGCGGCCAUUAUGUUGACGCCCGAUCCGGUGUCGCAAAUCGUCUUGUAGAAGUUGUAUCCAUUUAUGGAGCAGUAAAUGCUUGGCAUUCCUGGGUCGUCCUUCUUGGUCAAAAACGGUGACUUCAGUUGGUGAUCUUGGCCUCCAUGGACUACAGUGACCAUCUUAGCUGACUCGAUCCACACUUGCUUGUUCCUGUUCCUCCUGUUGGUCCUCUUCCUUGAUUCACGUCUGGAUUGAUCUUGAAUUUGUGUAGUCUUGUUCUUGAAGAAAAAUGUCUCCUUCUUCCCUUUGACGUAGAAACUGAUCUUGGCAGCACUGGCGUAGAUGAUAGCUCCCGUGGUGUUCAAGAAUGGCCUCCCUAGGAUGAUAGGUGCUCUCUCAUCAUUUCCGGUCUCUACCACUACGAAGUCUGCUGGGGCAUAUAAGGUACCAACUCGGACACAAAGGUUCCUCACUAUUCCUUUUGGAAAAGUUAUCGUCUGAUCUGCAAACUGCAAACACAUGGUUGUCUCUAAUAAAGGAUAUGUAAAGAAUUUCUCAUAGAGUACCCUGGGUAUAAUGUUGAUGCUAGAGCCAAAGUCGCAGAGUGCUUCUGGGAAGUCCACCAUGCCGAUGGAGAUCGGGAUGACGGGGCGUCCUGGAUCGCCUCUCUUGACCGGCAGACGGUCAGUAGAAAAUUUAGUGACGGGGUUACUCCAAUUACCUGCAUCAAACAUGUCUACAAGAUUUGCAGAUUCUAAUCCUUCCGGUUGUGAUGGUAUACCGGGGUUAGUAGUUGGAACAGCAGCAGCUAUUUGAUUUAACUGAGAUUCAAUCAUUUUAUUAAAGCUAAUUUGAUUCUUGAUGGCAGUAGAGAAAUUAUCCAUUCUAUUAUUUAUAUUUUCUAGCAUUUUAUCAUUAGAUGCCAAUUUCUUAGAUAGGUUAUCCAUUAGCUUUCCUUGAUUAGACACUAACUCUCUCAAAGGUGGUAAAUUAUUAUUAUUGUUGUUGUAAGAAUUGUUACCUUGAUAAUUACCUGAGUAGUUAGGCUUCUGUUGAUUCCAACCUUGAUUUUGUUGAGGACGGUUGUAGUAGUUGUUGUUGUUGUUGUUGAUGUAGUUCACAUCCUCAAGCAUCUCAGGGCAGUGGUUGCCUGAGUGUCCAGUGUCUCCACACUCCUCACAAGUCAUGUGAGAGUCGUAGAUGUGCAUAACUUCUUUCUUGUCUCCAGCUCUAUCAUCGAGCUUCUUCAUGAGCAGGUCUAGCUUUGCAGCAGCAUGUCUAUCUCCUUUAGCUGAUGCAUACCUCCACCUCUCUUGCGUGUCUGGGUCCUCUCUUCAUUCCAGCUUUGAUUGGACGCCAUCUUCUCCACAAGAGCUGUGGCUUGUGAUAUAGUAAGUGAUAAGAAUGCUCCUCCAGCUGCAGCAUCCAUAGUCUCUCGGGCACUGUUGCUGAGCCCAUGAUAGAAUGUCUGCAUCAAUAGCCAACUCUCCAUUCCAUGAUGGGGACAUUCUAGGAUGUAGUCUUGAAAGCGCUCCCAUGCUUCUGGAACAGAUUCAUCAUUUUGUUGCUGAAAACUUGUAAUCUUCCCACGGAGAGCAUUGGUCUUGCCCAUGGGAAAGAACUUUGCCAGGAAGUUUGUUGAGCAGAGUGCCCACGUAGUAUUCUUCUCCUUUGUAGCGUAGAACCACUGCUUCGCUCUUCCUAACAGUGAGAAUGGGAAGAGGCGAAGUAGUAUAGCGUCUUUGGAAACUCCUGCUAUGGUGAAUGUGUUGCAAAUCUCCAGGAAGUGUUGUAAAUGAGCACUAGCAUCUUCGUGUGCCUUCCCACAGAACUGGUUGGAUUGCACCAUGUUGAUAAGUCCAGGCUUGAGCUCAAAGUUGCCAUCGAUCUGUGCAGCAGGUCCAGUGCGGAUGUUGUCCGUAGUGGGAGCUGAGAACUCGCGGAUUGAUUUGUUCGCCAUGGCUUCGAACUCUGAAGACAAGUUCCGGUGAUCUUCUUGAUUGGAUGAAGCUUCUUCGUGAAGUGUUGAUGAUUUCUUUAGCUUGGCUCUCGUCUUCUUGAAUAAUGCAUCGGGAUUGUCAACAAAAUUUCCUGGAAGAUGUCUUCUAUUCAUACAUUCCCCUGCAUAAGAUAAAAUAGAAAAAUAUCGGGGUAAAACUGUAUGAGAGAAUAGAUAAGCUCAAUCAUAUUAGUGAUGCGAAUGAUAACUCAAAAUCUUUUAUUCCAUUCCUGAUUGGUAAUCAACCUUCCCCGGCAACGGCGCCAAAAAUGCUUGUUGGGUAUUCUUAACAUCAUUACUAAAAGUAGACUAAGUUCUCUAAAUCUAGCAACGGUGCCAAAAAUGCCAAACCUAUCCCUCACACCACUUAAGCCAAGUUGUCAUCCCCAGCAUGAUAUAAGAGACGCGGUAUUGAAAUAUGCAAUUGCUCUUCUAAAUAAAUAAUGAAUGGGAUCUGCAAGCGCACAGAUUAAUACCGAUGCAGCAUUUUAACCGGGAAGUAUUCCAGGUAUCGUUAUUUAUAUUUUUACCACUGGGAAGGGAUUAAUCAAUCAUCAAUAUUGAUUACAGAAUAGAAUAUGAGAUUGAGCAUCUAUCAUUGCAUGUAUAAUUGAGAACAUUAUAUCUAACUCAUCAUACAGGGAUAAGUGUCACAUAAAAGAUAUAUGAAAUAAUAAUAGUGACAAGGAUAACUAAUCUGAUCUAGCCACAUAAUAAAUAUGAUAAGCACCUCAAUUAGAUACUCUAGAAAGUCAUUAGCAUGGUAUUAGAACGAACUACAAGAAUAUUCCCUAAGUUAUUCUCAACUAUAUAGUCUAGCAUUAUCAUAGUUAGUGCAAGCAUACUUAGCAAUCAUUGCGAGACAAGACUACGCCCAUGCAUAGUGAUAUUAGCAAGGAAUAUGAGAAACAUAGCAAUCACUCCCCUGUAAUAAUGUUGCUCUGCCAGCCCAAUACACGAGAGGGGGACUAUAUAAGAAUCAAUGAAGCUGUCACUAUCACGAACUACCCCACGAUCUGGCAUAUUGGGUACAAUCGCAGAUAAAUACGGUAUAAGCACCACGCCUACACAAUAUCUAUCAUUUACCCAUUGAUCCGAUGGAUAAACGCUAUACGAUCCUAAGCAUGUAUAUAGAUCGUAUCUAACUAAGCCAAGUACAUAACUAUGAUAAACUAAGAACAAUAUAAUCUUGAAUAUAAGCAAGUAGAGCAAAGUCAUAAGCAAUAUAUUGAAGUAGAACAAAGUCAUAUUCAUAAUAUUGAAGAACAAAGAUAAUUAGAAAGCAAUUAGAAGCACAAUUAGAAGAUUACCAAGAAUCCUCCUGACAGAUCCGGAAACCAAUCGAAGAUUGACUCCUUCUAGUUCUUAUCCUAUGUAGCUAUGCUAAUCUAGAUAUCUAAUUGAUGUGGUGGCUCUAAUCUUGAUCAGAGGCUUCUUCUCCCUUGAUGGAACAAUGAAUUAGGGUUGAGAGGCUCUCUCCUCCAGGGGCCAGGGGGUCUGGUUUUAUAGUCCCUUCAAGUGAAUAUGGGCCCUUGGAUCAAACCGACAUAGAUUGUAUGGUUUAGAUUCAUCCUUUAGGUCGGUGGAGACUUCCCGCAAAGCAGAGUCCUGAUUGGACUCCUGAGGUGGGCGGGCGCCCAGUUGGACAGGGCGGGCGCCCUGUCUCUAGCCCCGAUUCGCCUCCGCUUCGGUCUCGUGGCUUCUGGAGUCUUCUAGAUGUAAGAUAAUUGCGCAGCACGUUAAUAUCUUUACGUAAUCCUGACAUGUGGGCCUUUCUUCCAUAUUUCCUGAUAACCCCCUGCAGAAAUAGACAAACACCAAAACUCGUGGAAUUCUGUCAGAUAAAACCCUAAGUCUAGAUCUUGAUUUCAUUUGGAUCCUUUUCUUUAUUUAUUUGAUAAUUAAAUUUGAUACUUAAGGACCGUCAACAAACUCCCCCAAGCUUACCUCUUGCUCGUCCCUGAGCAAGGAUAGACUCAGCUAUGGAUCAUAAGUUGUUGCAAUAUUUAAAAAUUUGACGGUACACAUGCUUUGAAAUAAGAUCUCAUCUCUGAGUUAGAGUAAACUGUCAAGACUUAAAACUUACUUACUUUACCUCCACCAUGGGACUUGUAGCUGUCACUUCUGUCUUGAGUGGUUAAAAGAUAGAACAGUCUAGCCAAGUGCCAUGUCUCUUAUUCUUGAUCAGCUAUAGCUCUGGGUUUUUGCAGAUUUUCAAAUAAAACUCAGAAUUCCUUGUAUGAUUCUCUCAGGUCUCUCUUUUGUGGUAUUUCUGGAUCCUUACCAAGGCAUUGAUGGUAUAUGCCUUCUCUCAAGAUAUGUGGUAUUUGUGGUAUAAGGCAUAGUGACAUUGCCUUCUCUCUCACCCUACUCUAAUAAGGCUUUAAUAUCUGGAGCUCAUAGGUGGGAGAUAAAGUAUACAUACUUACAAGACAUGUAUUGCAUAGUCAAACCAUGGAUCCAAAGUAACAAGUCAAUAAGUUUAAUCAAGAUGUGCAUGUGUGGCGAAGGAAUGGUAUAUGGUGAUGAUGGUGAUAACAAUGGUGAAAACAAUGGUGGUGGAAGUCUAAUUCUACUUUUGCUCUUUGAGGGGAUACAUACCUUCCUUGCUUUUGAAAUUUUAUAAGGAGAAUGAGAUGCUCUUCUUUUUUUUCUCUCAGGUGGGUAUCUUGCACUCCUAAUUCUACUGUCGGACACUUGUCCAUUUUUACCUCUCGUCUCACUCUUUUUCUUUUCUUUCGAGGUUCCGAGCACUUGCUCCUUUUUAUUUCCUCGUAUUAUUUCUCUUCUUUUUUUUAGAGCACUCAUCUCUUGAGAUAAUAUAGCAAGUGGUAGUAACAAGAUAACUUGAGCAUUUAUUUCAUAAGGGAAAACAGAAAUAUUUUUGGUUAUUCUCUCCCGGAUUAGGAGUAGAAUAUUUUCAGGUGGUUCUGGAGAUGGAAUGGGUGGAUAUAUGUGGAUGGUACUUCCGGAAUAGAAGUAGCAUAUAUAAAUGAACGUGCAAGUGAAAUCUUGAUUUAACCACAUGACAAGCUCCUAAGGGUCUACACAGCUUGACCAUACUCAAUGCUCAUAAGCAGUAAAUAGUAAAUGUGUGGCUCAAAGUCUAGCAAGCAUGUAUAUAUGGCUGUGGUAGGAAUUUAAGCUCUCAUCAUACAGGAACUCAUCAUGCAACAUUUUAAAGAUUUUCAAAGAUAAAAUUCUCCAGAAUUCUAGCAUCUCUAGGAACAGAUAAACAGCAGCU